AGGUACCCAAGAAUCCACUGGAAAACAAACCUGGCUCUUGGAGAAGCAACAGAAGCAGAGUCUUCUAUGGCAAGAUAACUGCUGUGGAAAGAGGAUUCAGUGAAACUCCUGGUGAGCUUGUGCCCUAUGGAAACACAACGGCAGCCUGGCAGAUGGGAUGUCUGGAGUCAGAUUGGGAUGCCUGCAGAGAGGGGAGGGAAGACAAGGAACCACAUUCUGCUUGGCUGAACAGUCAGUUGGGUUAAAAACACCACCUCGGCCGCACGGCAUUCCUGAUGGCGUAUGGGAAUUGCUUUGCAAUGGAAGAGUGCCUGGAGGUCAACUUGAAGGCAAGAGAAGAACACCCCUUCACCAUCAACUUGACUGCCUGUAGCCUCCCCUCUUCAGCACACCUUAAGUGUGUAUCCACGCUGUUGAAUCCUAACAUCAAACCUGCAUCCAACAGGAAUUCCACCUUUGUUGCGCCGGAGCCGGUUUCGCCCCGGCCGCUCCCAAAUCCCGAGGACACACCUGUUAAUAGCUAGAGGGAAGGAGAUUGGUUGGGUGGAAGGAAUGCACCUGCGCAGGGAGGGGUGAAGGACUACAUGUAAGACGAGCCCCAGACACCCGCCGUCUCUUCUCAAUUCCAGCUUCAACAAGCCACAGCGCUCUGGGGCUGCGAAGGGAACGCCACGCGCCUUUUCCUCCUUUGCUUUCCCCUGUUUGGGCUGAAGCUCUUUGUUUCGGGCUCUAACGCAUCUCAGGCACGUGUUGCUUUCUUUCCAGGUACACUUCUAUUUUUGCCUCCCUUUGUUGACCACGAAGAGCAAUUUCGCUCCAAGUUCGUCUGUUCCAGGACACGGGAAGAUGGGAAGAGGGAAAACCCUUCUUGUGCGCGCUCUCCUGCCGUUCCUUUUUGUUACCUGCUUUGAAGCUGUCUUUGGUUUGGGAGAAGGUGGCUGUGCUUCCUGCACUGAAGUUGCUUUGCGUGUGUGUGUGGUCAUGGUCCUGUGAAUUAUAACAACACAGGAAGUUGUACUUCCCUGUUAUCGGAUGUGAAAGGCCCUGUAAAGAAUGAUUUAUAACAGCUCUCACUGAGAGAGGGGAUUAUUGCUGGUUUUAUCUGACACACGGCUUUAGGGGCAGGUGGUUCAGUGUACCUGGCAGCUGUGAAGCAGCAGAAGGCACCAGCAGCAUCCUCCCGUCAU
Molecule: long non-coding RNA, 1187 nt
Organism: Neopsephotus bourkii (Bourke's parrot)
Lineage: Eukaryota; Metazoa; Chordata; Aves; Psittaciformes; Psittacidae
Exons: 4
Source: RefSeq, a predicted model, not a curated record